CUUUAGCCCCGAUUGCAGUGAAAAUCCUUUUACUUUUUUCUUUAAAAAGUAAAAGAGUACUUCACUAAACUUUCAUUUUAAUCGGAGUUCAGUGAACUUCGUUUGCAAUGGAAAGCGGGAAAAUCA
RNAcentral lists this small RNA (126 nucleotides) under Flavobacterium omnivorum. RNAcentral describes it as "Flavo-1 RNA". Lineage: Bacteria; Pseudomonadati; Bacteroidota; Flavobacteriia; Flavobacteriales; Flavobacteriaceae. The record is from RNAcentral.